Eubacterium limosum KIST612 is the source of this 98-nucleotide regulatory RNA element. It matches the Rfam family "azaaromatic riboswitch aptamer (yjdF RNA)". The record is from Rfam. Lineage: Bacteria; Bacillati; Bacillota; Clostridia; Eubacteriales; Eubacteriaceae.
AAUCACAAAGAUAAAAACACAGUCCGGUUGGUAGUCCGGGCGCGGCGACGCCGUCAGUAACCUGCCUCCUUGGUUGUCCGUUCUUUAGUGAUUUUACU